GACGAACGCUGGCGGCGUGCUUAACACAUGCAAGUCGAACGGAGAGGCCCUGCUUUUGUGUGGUGCAUGAGUGGCGAACGGGUGAGUAACACGUGAGUAACCUGCCCUUGACUUUGGGAUAACUUCUGGAAACUGCGUCUAAUACCGGAUAGGAGCUCCUGCUGCAUGGUGGGGAUUGGAAAGUUAUGGCGGUAGGGGAUGGGCUCGCGGCCUAUCAGCUUGUUGGUGGGGUAAUGGCUUACCAAGGCGUCGACGGGUAGCCGGCCUGAGAGGGUGACCGGCCACACUGGGACUGAGACACGGCCCAGACUCCUACGGGAGGCAGCAGUGGGGAAUAUUGCACAAUGGGCGAAAGCCUGAUGCAGCAACGCCGCGUGAGGGACGACGGCCUUCGGGUUGUAAACCGCUUUUAGCAGGGAAGAAGCGAAAGUGACGGUAACUGCAGAAAAAGCGCCGGCUAACUACGUG
This 468-nucleotide ribosomal RNA is filed under the name uncultured bacterium. RNAcentral's name for it is "partial 16S ribosomal RNA". It matches the Rfam family "Bacterial small subunit ribosomal RNA", at positions 28 to 507 of the family's 1533-position model. The record is from RNAcentral.